RNAcentral lists this transfer RNA (76 nucleotides) under Candidatus Nomurabacteria bacterium. Its description in RNAcentral is "tRNA-Glu". It matches the Rfam family "tRNA". From Rfam's summary of the family: Transfer RNA (tRNA) molecules are approximately 80 nucleotides in length. Their secondary structure includes four short double-helical elements and three loops (D, anti-codon, and T loops). The record is from RNAcentral. Lineage: Bacteria; Candidatus Nomuraibacteriota.
GGUUCCGUCGUCUAGUGGUUAGGACGUCUGGUUCUCAUCCAGAAAAUCGCGGGUUCGACUCCCGCCGGAAUCACCA